AACGAACGCUGGCGGCAGGCCUAACACAUGCAAGUCGAGCGAGGACUUCGGUUCUAGCGGCGGACGGGGGAGUAACGCGUGGGAAUGUGCCCUUCUCUACGGAAUAGCCCUGGGAAACUGGGAGUAAUACCGUAUACGCCCUUUUGGGGAAAGAUUUAUCGGAGAAGGAUCAGCCCGCGUUGGAUUAGGUAGUUGGUGGGGUAAUGGCCUACCAAGCCGACGAUCCAUAGCUGGUUUGAGAGGAUGAUCAGCCACACUGGGACUGAGACACGGCCCAGACUCCUACGGGAGGCAGCAGUGGGGAAUCUUAGACGAUGGGGGCAACCCUGAUAUAGCCAGGCCGCGUGAGUGAUGAAGGCCUUAGGGUUGUAAAGCUCUUUCAGCUGGGAAGAUAAUGACGGUACCAGCAGAAGAAGCCCCGGCUAACUCCGUG
RNAcentral lists this ribosomal RNA (433 nucleotides) under uncultured bacterium. Its description in RNAcentral is "partial 16S ribosomal RNA". It matches the Rfam family "Bacterial small subunit ribosomal RNA", at positions 29 to 507 of the family's 1533-position model. The record is from RNAcentral.